RNAcentral lists this ribosomal RNA (303 nucleotides) under uncultured bacterium. RNAcentral's name for it is "partial 16S ribosomal RNA". It matches the Rfam family "Bacterial small subunit ribosomal RNA", at positions 507 to 808 of the family's 1533-position model. The record is from RNAcentral.
AGCAGCCGCCGCGGUAAUGCGUAGGUCCCGAGCGUUGUCCGGAUUUAUUGGGCGUAAAGCGAGCGCAGGCGGUUUGAUAAGUCUGAAGUUAAAGGCUGUGGCUCAGCCAUAGUUCGCUUUGGAAACUGUCAAACUUGAGUGCAGAAGGGGAGAGUGGAAUUCCAUGUGUAGCGGUGAAAUGCGUAGAUAUAUGGUGGAACACCGGUGGCGAAAGCGGCUCUCUGGUCUGUAACUGACGCUGAGGCUCGAAAGCGUGGGGAGCGAACAGGAUUAGAUACCCGAGUAGUCCCUGUCUCUUAUACA